AUACGGAGGGAGCGAGCGUUAAUCGGAAUUACUGGGCGUAAAGCGCGCGUAGGCGGCUUUGUAAGUCGGAUGUGAAAGCCCUGGGCUCAACCUGGGAAUGGCAUUCGAUACUGCAUAACUAGAGUAUGGUAGAGGGAAGUGGAAUUUCCGGUGUAGCGGUGAAAUGCGUAGAUAUCGGAAGGAACACCAGUGGCGAAGGCGACUUCCUGGGCCAAUACUGACGCUGAGGUGCGAAAGCGUGGGGAGCAAACAGGAUUAGAAACCCGGGUAGUCC
RNAcentral lists this ribosomal RNA (274 nucleotides) under uncultured bacterium. Its description in RNAcentral is "partial 16S ribosomal RNA". It matches the Rfam family "Bacterial small subunit ribosomal RNA", at positions 523 to 796 of the family's 1533-position model. The record is from RNAcentral.